UAAAAACCUUUUUAAAACAUACUGUUAAUUCAGUUUGUAAUAACUUUAAUUUUCUUUUUCUGUAUUUAUGAAGGUAACACUAUAAUCUUACACCCCAGCAAUAAAGGUUAAUAACAUUAUUAACCUUUUAUUCUUUGCAUUCUUUUUUUUCCUGUUCAUUAAUAGAAAUUUAAACUAAAUUUAUUUAUUUAUUUAUUUAGCGGUGCAAGGGAUUAAAUCCAGGGCCUCAUGCAUGCUAGGUAGGUAUUCUACCACUGAUCUACAUAACCAGACCUACAUUUAAAUUUUUAAAUGUAAAUGGCUUCUGUAUAGUUUUAUAUUUUAAUUUUUAAAUUUAAUAAUAAAUUACAACUAUUUCCCAUGUCAUCAAAAUCUCUUCAAAACAUAACUAGUAACAUAAUAAUUAAUAAUAUAUUAAUGCUUUUAUGUAUAUCUUCCCACAAAAGGCUUUGAGCACAUCUGUAAUUAUUCCCUUACAUUUAUUCUUAGAAGUUGAGUCUAUUUUUAAGUCUUGAUUUAAAAAAUAAUUUUGUUGGGUCAAGUUUUAAAACACUUUGGAGCAGUCUGUAAAGAAAAAGCGUAUUUUGGUACCAGGGAAUGAACUCAGGUCCUUGUACUUGCAAGGCAGUCGGCAGCGCCACUGAGCUAAAUCCCCAGUCAGAAAAAGCGUAUUUUGGGGCUGGGGAGUUAGCUCAGUGGUGCCGCUGCCUGCCUCACAAAAGCAUAUUUUAGUAACAUUUUUUAUUUAUAAAGUUGGCUCUGAGAAGUUACAUUUUCUUACUGAAAUCUUUUACUUUCUUAAUACUUUGAUUCCUUAAUGGGACCUUCACCUUCACCAUAUCAUACUUCUUUGUUUUAUAGAGGAAGAAAUUGAAGGCCUAGGGCAUUUGGGAAAUGUUCAAGAUCACACUGCAAGUGUUGGCAAAGCGCUAAAAUAAGAACUCCAUGCUAGCACUUGUCUCUUAUCCCGUGGUACUUUUUAUAUUCAUGGAAAGUGGACUAGAGAUAGGUAUUUCUUCUGGUCAUUUCAGUGAGACAGUCAGGUGUCAAACUCUGCAUGCUCUUCUAAAUCAGGUUUGCAAAGUACUCUUGUCCAGUGGUUUUACUGUAUCAAAGCAAUAAAGAACUUGAAUACUGUACCUGGAAUUUCUAAGCUUGGAUAUCAUUAGGGAAGUUGCUUGAUUAUUGCAGAAUGACUUUGUUUUUGUUGUAAAGACCUAUACACGUACCUGUUUUUUCUUUUCAGUCUGUAACCUGUGUAUAUGGAGUUGAAGUUGCCGUGCAAUGAAACUUACAGUAUUUAUAUAGUUAUUCACUGGGUAUUUGAUCAACUUUUUACUACCAUAUUGAUUUUAGAUAAAAGCAAGAACUCUUGUUCCUUUUUUUUUAUUUCUAAACUUUUAUGCCAUAUCUGUUAUUGUACAGUUAAGAAACAGAGUCUUGAAAAGAGAUAAUAAAACCUUACCUUGAGAUGGAGAAGGCAGGCAUGGCAUUGGCCUGGUCCUUUGAUUCCCUGGGGUUGUUGAUAGGCUUGGAGGACCUCUACGUUGAGCAUUGAUAAUUGGCUUUCUGAGGAAGCAUCUACUCAUUACUCAGUAAUGACAAAAAUCAGCACUUCUGUCAGAUGCCAGUCUCAAGUGAGAGUUCUUCUCAGAGACCAAGUUAGAAGGUGUUUCUUUUUGUUUGUUUUGUUUUUUAUUUUUUGAGUCAGGGUCUUGCUCUGUAAUUUAGGCUGGCCUUGAACUCACUAUGUAGACCAGGCUGGCCUCAAACUCACAGUGAUCCUCCUGCCUCAGCCUCCUGAAUGCUAGUAUUACAGGCGUGAGCUACCGUCCCUAGCUUAGAAGAUGUUUCAGUGGUCUUCUAGUCUCACUUCUCUCACUCCAUUAUAGGCUUCCUUCCAUUCUCCAUCUCCCCAGAGAACUUUAGUUUGGUAACAUUUCUUGGUAGAGAGGUUACUAAUUUUUCAUUGAACAAUAAAGUAUUUCCUUAUUCAUUCAAAACAUGCACCCAUACACACAGUACUUACUGUGGGGCAGGAACUGAGUUAGGCAUUUGUUCGCAGGAUGAAGAUGAUGAAGAUGUGGCCUCCCUUUUUAAAUGAUAAGCUCACUGGUGUAUAACAGGCUUGCUGGUAAUUGUAUGUGUCUUCCUGGCUCUGGAUUCUGAAUCUGAACAUACUUUUGCUGCUAUAUGAUAAAAAGGGCAGGGAAUUGGAAUCAGAAGAUUUAGGUUUGAAUUUUGGCUUUAGCACUUACUUAACUAUAAGCUGGAACAAAUUGUUAACCUAUGAGCCACAGUUUCUUGUGUGCAAAGUGUGGAUAGAAGAGAAGGUAUAGGAUCAUACCUUCCAAUCUGUUUUACACCAUACAAGUGGUAGACUUUUCUUGUUUUUCUUUGCUUAUUAUCCAGAAUUAUGUUUUCUCACCAGUGGGUUUAUGGAGAAAGAAGCUCAGUUACAAUUCUUUCAGUGCUGCUGAAUAUACUGAGAAUGGAAAAAUAAACAGGGUUGUAUUGGUUUUCUGGCUUGUAAAUCAAAAAGUAAUUUUUAGUGCCAAAAACUAUGUUUGUCUUGAGAAGUCAGGAAUGUUUUUGCAUUGUAGAACAGCUUCAGAUUCCGUGGUGGAUCUCUUGGGGAAUCGCAUGGUUUGGGUUUAGGUUCUGUUGUGUAUGGGGCUGGCUUCUCUGCAAUGUAAAUCUUGCUUACUGUCCUCAGUUCCUGCUGGAGUAAAAUACAGGCUGGCUAGGGUAGUUUCUGGUCAGGACUUCUAAGCCAGCCAGGGCAGCAUACCUCUCUUGUAGCCAGGCCUUGGAAAGACCUCCAAGCACAGGUCCCCAGCCCAGUCCUCUCCACCAGGCUGGUCUGGAGUCACCAGGUGGCAGUGAGGUGGCAGAAAAGUGGCAUCAAGGGCUUUGCCUCUACCAGGGCUGAAGGUACAGGUUGUUAAAUUAAUAUGCCUGAUUUUUCAUCACUGUGAGAAAAUCUUCUGGAAUUUCUACCCCACUGAAGACCUCAUCUGUGUAGUUCCCAGAGAACCAGAACCUCCAUGCAGAGGGCUGAAAGCUCUCUACCCUGCAAACAAGUUCAGGAAAGAAGCAGAGUGAACAAAUGCAAACCCGAGUUCACCAUAGCCCUGCUUAAAGCCCUCUGUGACUCCCCACUGGCAAAUUCACUCUUGUUUUUGACCUACAGAGCCCAGCUGAUGGGCUCCUGCCCCCUCUCUAGCCUCAUCCUGAGCCUCACACACUGAAUGCCGCAAGUGUACAUAACCUGGAGACAUGAUGAUCUCUGGAUUUAUCUAUCAAUCUAUCUCAAUUUAUUUAUACAUACAUACUGGGGAUUGAACCCAGGGCCUUCACAUUAAGCAACAUGCCCAUCCCUUUAUUUUUUUAAAUUUUGAGACAGGGAUUCACUCAACUCCUAAGUUAUUCAGGCUGGGUGCGAACUUGUGAUCCUCCUGCCUCAGCCUCUUAGACUACUGGGAUUACAGAUAUGUGUGACCAUUUGCAGUUACCUUGCCAGUCCUCUGCUGAGAAAUUCCUGCCUAGCAGAAUUAACAAAAGCCCCUUGAUGACAGUGGUAGUCUAACAAAGUAGGUAACUGUUAGAGGAAGUAUUUUGUGUCUGGAACAGAUGUUCUCAGAAUUUUGUGUUUGGGCUGUUCCACUACAAAAACAAAAACAGAAGGACAGGAUGAAGGGUUCACAAUGUCAAAGUCAUGUGAACUCAGAGGAUAGAGAGAUUCUUGUUGGCUGCUCUGGGACAGUUUGCCCCUCCCCCAACCGUUUCACUCUGCCCUAAAGACUUGAAGGCCAACGGAGAAUGGAUGGAUAUCCUGGGGACCAGAGGGAGUGAUGAUGACUGAUAGAGCUGGUGGCUUCUUGCUGAAUUGAGACUACUGAAGUGGCCUCCCUGUGGGACACCUGAAGAAGCUGUCCUGUCAUUACAGAGCCUCCUCUCCAAAUGGUGAUUCAGGGGCCAUCUUUGACCCAUGAGACCCAAGGCAACCAUGCUGGCCUGCGAGGACAAGCUCACAGAAACGGAAAGAGCCUGGAGGGUCACAGCACCUCCAACUUGAGCAAAAUGCCACAUGGCAUUCCUGAGUGAACAUUUUGAAAGAGUUGUGUGGCAUCCAGUGAGGCAUUUGGAAGUCACCUGGAGGCCCAUAACGCCCUGUUGGAUGGUGGGCCAGGCUGGGAGAGUCUGUUCCCUGCAGACUAGACUGUGGGCCCGACCAGCUGUCAUGACUUCUCCAAAAUGUCCCAGUCUUUGCACAUUCAUUUUCUAAAAGAGUAGCAAACAGAUGUGAAAUGAAGAGAGAAUACUUCUUGAAGAUAGUCCAACAAUAGGUGAGCAUCUGAAAGCUGAAGAAUAAUCCAUGAUUGAGGGACAGCCAGUGUGCCUGAGGAAGGUGAUGUUUGUGGUGAACUGGUCUUGGAAACCCAAAAGGAAAUGGCAAGAUUGGAGUCUGCUAAAGCAAAUACGCUCUCUGCUGAAGCAACCUGCUGUCUUCCCUUCCCUGUGACAGAGUGUGCUCAUCAUUCUUGCUCUUUCAAGGAAAUGUGUAAAGAUGACUGAGCGAUGACAUUCACUGCCAUCUUAUAAAACAUUACAUUGCAAAGCAAUUUUUGUGGAAUAGUGUCAUGAAAUGACUGAAUAUUUACUCAGAUAUUUUAGAAAAUUUGCAUAACUUUAUGCUUAUAUUAUCAAAAUGUUAAAGGUUCAUUUUAGAAAACUCAAAUACAUGUUAAGUAUAAAUAGGAAAAGAAAAAUGUUAUUUUACUACUUAGAACCACUGAUUUUGUUGUGGCUAUAUAUCCUGCGUUUCUGUACAAAAACAAAUAAUGAGCUCUUAUAAUACACUUCUGUAAUACACUUCUGUACACUUCUGUAAUACACUUUGUAAUACAUACCUGCCUUUUAAACUUAUGUGAGCAAUUCCACGUCAGUUAAUAUGCUAUUAUUAUUAUUUGUACCGUGGAUUGAAAUUAGGACCAUGUGCUUGCGCGGCAGGCACCAGAACCACUGAGCUAAAUCCCCGGCCCCAAUAUGCUUUUAUUAUUAUAAACACUUCAUAAUUUUAUAUCGUAUGGAAAUAGUAUUUAAGCACUUAACAUUACUGGUAACAUUUAAUAAUCGUAAAUAAUGCUGUAGUCAACAUCCACAUAAUUUUUCCCAUACAAUGUUUGUUUAAAAAAUUAUUUUCUGGGCUGGGGAUUUAGCUCAGUGGUUUCGCUACCUGCUGUGCAGGCACAAGGACCCAAGUUCAAUCCCCGGUACCAAAAAGAAAAAGAAAACCCAAAAAUUAUUUUCUGUGUGUGCGUGUGUGUGCGUGUGUGCGUGUGUGUGUGUGUGUGUGUGUGUGUGUUUUCCUCAGCAGGUAGGGUGGACACUCUUAAUUUACUGAGGAGGAAGAAGUCUCCCAUGAACCCCUUCCCUUCCCGGUUAGCAGACUUCCCCUCGGGUCCCGCAAGCCAAGGGUUCUGCUCCUGUCCUCUACCUGUAAGGAGGCUGAGUGGGAGCAUCUGUGCCAGAGGGAGAUGUUGCUGAGAACGUGGCCCACGGAGGCUGCCACAGGGUAAUUCUCUUUUACGUGGAGCUAUCUAUAGUUCCUCCUCUCUACUGUACAGGGCAGCUCUGCUUCUAUGUAUGGAGGCCCACAGCCAUUUUAGCUCUCUCUUCUUUUUUUUGU
This 5692-nucleotide long non-coding RNA is filed under the name Heterocephalus glaber (naked mole-rat). RNAcentral describes it as "lncRNA (ENSHGLG00000041403.1)". Lineage: Eukaryota; Metazoa; Chordata; Mammalia; Rodentia; Bathyergidae. The record is from RNAcentral.